This 223-nucleotide ribosomal RNA is filed under the name Symbiodinium sp. clade D. Its description in RNAcentral is "partial Bacterial large subunit ribosomal RNA". It matches the Rfam family "Bacterial large subunit ribosomal RNA", at positions 1599 to 1830 of the family's 2925-position model. The record is from RNAcentral. Lineage: Eukaryota; Dinophyceae; Suessiales; Symbiodiniaceae.
GAAGUUGUCCCAGGAAAUAACCCCACCGUAUAAACCGUACCCUAAACCAACACAGGUGGACUGGUAGAGUAUACCAAGGCGCUUGAGAGAACUGCGUUGAAGGAACUCGGCAAAAUACUCCCGUAAGUUCGCGAGAAGGGAGACCUCUGAUUGGGCAACCAGUUAGGGGUGGCACAGAAAUGGGGGUGGCGACUGUUUACUAAAAACACAGGGCUCUGCGAAG